CGUAGGGUCCGAGCGUUGUCCGGAAUUAUUGGGCGUAAAGGGCUCGUAGGCGGUUUGUCACGUCGGAAGUGAAAACUCAGGGCUCAACCCUGAGCGUGCUUACGAUACGGGCUAACUAGAGGUAUUCAGGGGAGAACGGAAUUCCUGGUGUAGCGGUGGAAUGCGCAGAUAUCAGGAGGAACACCGGUGGCGAAGGCGGUUCUCUGGGGAAUUACCUGACGCUGAGGAGCGAAAGCAUGGGGAGCGAACAGGAUU
This 255-nucleotide ribosomal RNA is filed under the name uncultured bacterium. Its description in RNAcentral is "partial 16S ribosomal RNA". It matches the Rfam family "Bacterial small subunit ribosomal RNA", at positions 526 to 779 of the family's 1533-position model. The record is from RNAcentral.